CAGAAUGGAACAUCGACUAAGAACUGCCACGUCCUUAUGUCUUACGUCGAGGUCAGCUCAUCCUGUGCA
Molecule: small RNA, 69 nt
Filed under: Bacillus sp. CECT 9360
Lineage: Bacteria; Bacillati; Bacillota; Bacilli; Caryophanales; Bacillaceae
Description: Bacillaceae-1
Rfam family: Bacillaceae-1 RNA
Source: RNAcentral